UACAGAGGUCUCAAGCGUUGUUCGGAUUCAUUGGGCGUAAAGGGUGCGUAGGCGGUAUUGCAAGUCGGAUGUGAAAUCUUGGAGCUCAACUCCAAAAAUGCAUUCGAUACUGCGGUGCUUGAGGACUGGAGAGGAGACUGGAAUUCACGGUGUAGCAGUGAAAUGCGUAGAUAUCGUGAGGAAGGCCGGUGGCGAAGGCGGGUCUCUGGACAGUUCCUGACGCUGAGGCACGAAGGCCAGGGGAGCAAACGGG
Molecule: ribosomal RNA, 253 nt
Filed under: uncultured bacterium
Lineage: Bacteria
Description: partial 16S ribosomal RNA
Rfam family: Bacterial small subunit ribosomal RNA
Source: RNAcentral